AUGGGUGCCAAAACUAUAAACCUCAAUACCCCGUCCGGUAUGAGGGUGAAACGGGCCGUCCCCAUACCCCGUCCGGUAUGAGCACCAAAACACAUACGAUCUCCAUACCCCGUCCGGUAUGAGAGACCACAAUCCCGGUAGGGUCCCCUACGGACCCGGUCCGUCCACCAUCUCCCAGGAUAUCUAGUUAGGCUGACUACAUUACACAAUUAUCAAUUUACAUCACCUUCCAUUCCCCUUUUCCUCAAUCAGCAUCAUCAAUUCGUAUUUAAAUAAGCAAAACAGUAAUUCAUGCCAAACAGACAACAUACAGCAUCGGUAUCUCAGUCAUUCAACCCAUAAUCAAUAAAGUAGUAAAAUAUGCAUACGAAACUAUAAAAUGAAAACAUCAAUCCUCAU
This 399-nucleotide long non-coding RNA is filed under the name Carica papaya (papaya). Its description in RNAcentral is "long non-coding RNA (CPAP_LNC014344)". Lineage: Eukaryota; Viridiplantae; Streptophyta; Magnoliopsida; Brassicales; Caricaceae. The record is from RNAcentral.